Molecule: long non-coding RNA, 9687 nt
Organism: Dromaius novaehollandiae (emu)
Lineage: Eukaryota; Metazoa; Chordata; Aves; Casuariiformes; Dromaiidae
Exons: 2
Source: RefSeq, a predicted model, not a curated record
UCCCAAAUGUCUGCAGCGGCUGCAUCCUCCCCCGGGAGCGCCCGGCCUCUCCGGCUCCGGCAGCCCUGCCGGCCCAAGCGCGGCAUUUUUGCGGGAGGAAGCGGCGUUUCUGGCCGCGGCCCGCUGCCGUCGGGGGUCGGCGGGCGAGAGCAGGCGGAGACCGGGCCGCGGAGCCCGGCGCACACCGCCGCCGAGGCGCCCCGGCUCCUCCCGGCUGCCGGCGAGGGCCGCAGCCGGCGAGGGCCGCAGCCGGCGAGGGCCGCAGCCGGCGAGGGCCGCAGCCGAGGAAAUACCCGGGUUUCCCUAGCAACAGGUUUGCAGCCUGGCAUGACGGCGAGGGAAAGCAGGGGUUUCCCUCGCUGCGGCCGGCGCCGUUGAGCCGCGCCGCCGCCGCCAGCGGCGUCUCGGCGCGCUCCCGCCCCGGCGCGGCGCGGCCGGACGGGGGGAGCCGUGGGAAACCCUCGCCACCCCCAGGCACCUGCAGGGAGAGCCCAGGGACCCUCCCCAAAUCGGGAAGUGAAGGUUGGCAGAUCAGCAGCUUCAGUGAUGCUUUUUUCCCUCAUCAUCAACACGCCAGCGUUUACAGCCUGACCUGCUUGGGUGUCCAGCCUGUGUGCUCCAUCUUCGUGCCCGAGAUGUUUUCUGCAUGAUAUCCAUCCAGGGCAUGUGCGUAUGGAUGCAUGUGCAUUCAUCUCAGCUCAUUCUGCUGGGCGCAGACGCAGUAGGUCGGGCACAGAUUUGCUUUAAUGAGGCUAUGCGGCUCCUGGAUUGAAGCUGGCUCAUGCAUGGGCAGUGAGCUCAUGUCUGUCUGCCCAUGCCCAUGCAGACAGACAUCCCCGCAGUCCCAAGCGCUGUCCCCUCAGCAGGCUGCGGGUCCCCACCAGGGGCAGUGCCUCCAUCGCGCUCCCGGACUCGUGAUGAGGAACAGGCAGCUCGGGACUGGACAGCACUGGUGAUAUUUGUUGCUGGAUGAGGUCCGACUGAGGUGGGCAGGUUGAAGGAAAAUGUAGCAAUGUUGCCAGGCUCACUGUUUUAUGGCAAUGUGAUUACUCCUUUGCUACUGCUUCCCUUUCCUCUUUCCCUGAACCUAAGGCAUGGGCAAGGGCAAAGACAACAAUGGACAUCCUGGUACAUAUUAGAAGUGCUUUUAAAAUAUUGCCCUCACUUAAAAUUUGCAUAUCUGUUUUGUAAUAGUAAUGCUCUGGUAGUGCUUGCUGCUGGAGCUAUUUGUCAGAUAGUCUUUCCAUAAAACCUCUCAAGAAAGUGGGGCUGGUUGGUGACCUCAGGCACCGAUACAACAGUAGCAAAUAGGCCACAGCAUCACAGACAGAGACACAAAUUGACCUUGAGUAUCAAUUAACAGAAGACUUUAUUCACAAUUUUUUAAUUGCAGACAAAAGUUCUAGACUUCAGUGUGUCUUGGUGUUUCCUUUGUGUUGUGGUUACAGAAAAAAAAAGGGCACAAAGCUCCCUUUAUUUUUUUAAAAGCAGCAGUUUAUAAUUUUGUGGCCAGUGUGGUAUUUCCUGAUAAUGUAGAAACUCAAUUCAGGAAGGAAAUAAUGUGUUGCCUUGCAUUGUUCCCCCGAAUAAUUUGGAGAUGACUUGAUAAAAACAUUUCUAUCACACCCUCUGGUUAGUUAAGUGUAGUGUUAUGUUUCCAAAAAUAGAUAGUCUCCAAGCGUGUCUGAAAUCAGCAAUGUGGAGGUCAGUUCUCUGUCAUACAUAGCCUUGUCUGCAAUGGAUAUUCUGCCUUAAAAUUGUCACAGAUUUUUCCUCUGCCUUUUUCUUUAUCUCCCUGAUAAUUUUGCAUCAUCUACAAAGUAGAUGCAUGCUUGUAAUCAGAGACAGACAAGUUUGCAAGCAGAAAGUAGCCAGUGCUAACUGUUUGAUGCCAAGAAAAAAAAGUUAUGAGGUUUCAGAUAAGGGAAAUUAUCACUUUUAUCGCUUCUGGCAAAACUCCAUGGCUACCUUCCUGAAGGCAUGCAUCUACUAAAUAAUGAACCCAUAUCUCUCUAAACUCUCCACAGAAUCACCUCUUUGUCCUGUUUUCCAGUGACUUCUGAUGUUUUGGCUUUACCAGCCCUUUUAAUAUUAAAUAAGCCGGCAUUAUUGAUAUUAAAUAAGCCAGCUGACUGUGGGGAUCUAGUUGUGAAGAGAGUGGCCACCAAUUGCACAAAGCCUGGGAAGGAGCAUGCUGGUGGGAGCUGGGAAAUCAGAGCCCUUCCAAAAGGAGCAGGAUGCUCUGCCUUGCGCUUAGGCUCAGGCACAGACUUGGGUUACUCCUUCCCUCAAUCGGCAAGAAACUGCAGAGGCUUAAACACAAACUCAGAUGGCUGCUAAUAGGACUGUUCCAACCCUUCAUACAUUUCAAAAUCUACAUGCCAUAUUUCAGUCUUGGGCCUUCUGGGUGUUUAUGUCUAAUUAGGCUGGAGGGUCUCCAGUUUGAGAUUACCUAUGUUGCUUGGUGCCCAAUUUGUCUAUAUGACGUUGGCAGUAAAGCAGAUUACUGUGGGCUUAUGUGCAAGCAAAUUAGGGCCAGAUGUAAGCAUUCUUGUAAACCCUACUCCUGCUUUUUAACACUGAUUGAAUUCCACUGUCAUCCAGUUCUUUCUAUAUAAAAUGACAAGUGUGCUGAUUACAGUAUAUUAGUAACUAGGGAUACUCUGUAAGAUGUAAGGCUUUUAAGCGCUUCAUCUUUUCUUGCUUAUUGGUAGGGAGAAACCAUACUGCUUCAAGACUUUAAACUUUCCUGUUCUGGAAUGAAGUAAUGAAAAAGAGGAAUUGAACUAUACAUAGCACAGCAGUAAAUGUUUUGAAUUUGUUUAGGUUUUCUUAAGAGCAUAGACCUGAAUGGAGAAAACUGCAAUGCCUAGCAUAUGAACUGAUUUUUAGCACUGUGAAGUAAUAUUUCAUUGGUUAGGGCUGCUGUUUACUACUACUUUAGAAAAAGUCCCUGUACGUUAUAGGGGAAAUAUGGAAAGACCACUGUAUCAGUCGCCUCAGCCCUCACUGAAUAAAGAAACAAAGAUCUUAAUUCUCCAGGCUGUUGUUCCUGUGACCUUUUUAACGAAUGCUGGAUGUGCUCUUAGAAUGUUGCGUUGGUUUGGUCAAGCCAAAACUUGAAGUUUAAUCCCAGUUCCACUGAACUACAUGACAAUUUUUAUUGAAGAAUGGUUUCAUCUUGGAUGUCGUAAGAGCUGGGUGCAUAUUCAAAAGCAGAAGGCACCCUAAAUGGACCUUAAAAAUAUUUUAAAAACAUUAAAAUGUGACUGGAGAAAGGCUAGAAGGCAGGGAUGAAAACCAAAUACUAAAGUACUCUUCUAAAUGAAUAAGCCAGUUUUUCAGAAUGAUAGCAACUAUCUACAAAUCUCCCAGUACUUGGCAUCCAGCACUCUUACAUAACUGAAUGUAGAUUUUAAGUGCCUAACUUUAGACACUGGCAGAUGAAUAUUUUAGAUUAAUAACUACAGAGAUAUUGCACUCCAGAAACAUCAGAUCUGACAAUUAUAAUUUCUGAGUAUUAGAAUUGCUUUUCAGAAAUACUGUCUUUGAAAACAAAAUUCUUCAUGACCUCAUUAGGAGGACCUAAGAAUAAGCAUCUAUGACAUCCAAUCUCCUGUUUAAAUAUAGAUCUUACGAGUCCUUACCUCAGGUCUCCCCUAUGACAACUCUACAGAAAUGUUCUGACAGUGAGAUGGUGAGGAGCAGUGUAUAUGAAAAGUACCUUCUACCUGUCAGGCUACCAGAUUUUUGCCUGUGAUUGCACAGUUGAUAGAGUCACUUUUCUUCCUUUGAAGGAAAAAGAUUACAGGUGAAACAUUGAUACCUAAUUCUCAGAGUUAGAUCAUACAGCAUUAAUUAAACAGUUUCAUAUUUUAGAAUGCUCUAAAAAGAUCAGCAUGUCCUGUUUGUAGGCCUUGGAUCCACAGUAAACUCAUUAUUCCUGACAUUGCACAUAUUAUGGAAAAGAAAAAAGACUGCCUGAAUGUCAAACAGUGACAAACGUGUACCUCCAACAGAAAUGUCAUGCAGCCACCCUGUAUUAAAGGAAUUUUCUGCCUCUGUGAAGUGCUGAAAUAGCUGGGACAGGCAAUCACGUUUGAAAUCUCUCUGCUUUCAUCUCUGCAACAUGGAGAAGUAACAGGCGAGCAGGCGCUGGGUGCUUGCAAGAGCAGCCACAUAGGCUUGGUCCUGAAUUCUUGGAAGUGAGUGCAUCCAUCUCACUGAGGCCCCCAUGGCCUCUCUCUUCUCAGUUCCCCUACCUCCCCAGGACAGGGGGAGGCAUGACCUUGAAAUCUGCACCUGAACUUCAUAGCUUCAGCCUAGACCUAUUUACAAAUACAGUAGCACAUUCUGAGGUAUCAUAUGUUCAUUCAUUUUCAUAGAAAUCACCGUGACUGCUUAAAAAUGCAGCGUGCCUUCACAAGAAGCUGAGCCACUUUUCAUCAGAAAACUAAUACUUUAAAACACCAUUUUUAUCCAAGAACAUCCCAGAGAUCAACAUGAAUCUGCAAGUGCUAACCUUGGAAAGGAAUCUGUUUUUAUGCUUGGCUCUGAAGGAGGAAGCACAGGUGUCCCUGUGUCAGAGAGCAAACUUUGGAGACCUCAGAAACUACAUGCCUAAGUCCAUCCAGUCUUUUCUGAAGUAGUUUCCUGUUAUAGUAAAUGGUUUCAGAAAUAUUUUUAAGUAAAUCAGACGUGUGUUUCUCAGUGUUUCAAAGGAGACUUUGAAUGCCCUAAUAAGUUAGGAAGGUAGUAGCCUCAUUUAUCAAAAAGAUAACAAGGGAAACACAGAUGACAGAAUUAUCAACAUUUUUCAGGGAGAAAGCUUAUGACAGGGAGAAGUAGUGUAGUGCCAUGGGUUAGUGGCUUGUCUUUUAGUCUCAGAAGACUAGCUUGAAUUCUAAGACAUCAUUUGGGGAAAAAUAUUCCUAGAGACCCAGUCUGGACUCAGUGUGAUGUUACAGAUGAAAUGCAAGUGGCAUUUUAGGCUCUGUGGCCUAAAAGGACCAUGUGGCUUGGGUAUAUCUACUUUUUUUUCAGCUCUUUCUGAAGUGGUUGUAACUGCAGCUUGGCUGUCAUGUUCUUCCUUUAAUUGGAAGCUGGCCAAGAGGAGGAUUGGCAAGCCUGUUUUUUGGAAGCCUGGACAUUAUCUUGCUACUUUGGGGCCUCUGCAGUAUUAAUAAACUACGAAUAAGCUUCCUGGCAUUUCUUUAACCACAUUAUGGUUAAAGAACAAUCAGUUUAAGCCUUCAGAGAAUAGCUAUUGCAGAAGAACAGAAAGCACAGCCCAUGGAAAUCUAGUAAAUGACUCCUUUGCUAAAGCAAAAAGGCUCAUUGGAUUCCUCCAUGGCAAAAAGUCCAGGGAAAUGGUAUCAAUAAUAAACUACCAUUAAUAAAUAAAACCCUUCCACUGUAAAAUCUUUCACACACUGGUUAAGAACCUCUUUUGCUCACUUGAUCUGCAUAUGAUAUUCAUAGACUUUUGUGUCUCAAUCUUGAAUUUAUAUUUAGGGAUCUUAUCUUGAAAAUGUCAUAUGAACUGUCAUAGAUAGUGUGUAUCUCAGCUGGCAAGUGCCAAGAAAAUAUGCUUAGGUUUACCUGGGAUCUUGUUAACUUUCCUUGGAGAGGGGACCAUGGGCAAAAUGGCUCUGCGGUAUAUACCGAGAACCAUUAAAAAAACAUGUUCUAUGGAAAAAAAAUGCUACAGGAUGACCCAGGAGUCCAUCUGGUCCAUGCUCACACCCUGUGAGGAGCUGAGUGGCAUGGCCACAGUUAAGGCUGUGACAGCAAGAGGCCCCAUCUCUGCAGUGAGCCUUUUGAUCAGCAGCAGGGUUUGAAGCACUGUUACUGUGAGGUGGAACCGGACAAUUAGGCUCAGAUUUCAGGUGAAUUUUUCAGCAGCAAAGAUGGGAACUCUGGAGGACGCAUAUGAGGCUUUUCCUUUAUGGUGUAGCUCUGUAUUCAGUAUCAUGAUUUAUCCUUUCAGCCUACUAAAAGUGAAAGUAAUGAAGCUGACCUGCUUUGCAAAGGGCUUUGAAAUGACAUGCCCGGAGCACCAGGACUGGUAUCUUUUCUGAAUCCCAAGCUGCUGUUAUAUCCACUAGACCGUGCUGAUGGCACCACUGAAUACAAAAGUUGGGAAGUACCCAAGUGAAAAUGCAUAAACAAAUUUCAGGUCACACUCUAGGAAUAUAUUAAGAAUGCUUUUCAAAACUCUGAUGAUAAAUUCUUUCUCAAAUAGAAUAUUUUUGCAUUUAUAAAAAUUUAAACAGAAAAUCUGACUGUCCGUGCUUGUGUUUAAAAACAAAUUUACAAUUUUUUUCCCAUGACCAUAAAUAUGCUUGCAUUUUUUUCCUGUUCCAGGUGCUGCAUUGAAAGCCUACCCUUUGUUCAUUAAUUAUAUGUUAAAUUCCUGCCUUCAGCUUAGCUGUGGUAUCAGCCAUGCACAGGCUGUAUUCUCCAACAGUUGCAGUAACACUUUACUUAGGAGGAGCUGUUUGUAACAUCAGCAAAACUAUCACUCUUCUCUCUGAAAGGUUUCCUUAAAGUGCCCCUUUCUCUGCAAUAUUUGGCACCAAUUAAAUUUCUUGUAUAUACCAGUCACUUCCCAGCAUGCUUAGAAAGAAAUUGCAGUUGCUUUCUUUUACUCUUCCACCCAUUUGUGGUGAGCUGUGGUCUCCUGUUUUACAGUUGGAUUGGAGGUGCAUCUGAUAAAGGGCUGUCUAUUAUUUAAAUAAGACUUAGCAUAGCAAAGUCUUCGCUGUGUGUCCAGGACUGAAAUCUUUAAGUGUUCGAGUCUACAAAUUACCAUCUUGAUCUUUUUUUGUCUUGCUCUGUCUUGCUGAAAGAAUGAAUGUGUCUGUCCCAGGCUGUAGUCAGGACCAUCUGUUUCCUCCCUGAAAAUACAAGAGUGUUUUCACUGUUCCUGCUGUACAUAUCUAUAUUCCAGUGACCUGCCUGAUGGUAGACAUUACAAGCUCAUCUGAGGAGACUUCUGUUCAACUGCUUAACAUCUCUGGUCUGAAGAUACUGGUUAUUAAAGAGUCUGCAUUAAAGAUAUUGACUUAGAUUAUCCUUCUGUUGGUUUACUAGUGAGGUUUGGAAAUCUAAUUGUUGAAGCAGUUGAAUCUCUGUAAUCACUGGUAUCUCUCCAAAGACAUCGGUUAGAAGUGGCACUUAAUGAAUAUUUAUCAUUAACAGUUCUCUUAAAUAUUAUCCCAUUUCAUUAACACCAAGCUUAAUUAGAACCCCAGAAAGGACAGUCUAAUCUCUGAUUAGCUGUUUGAAUAACUGCACCAAUCUGCCACAACAUAAAUCAAGGUUGUAGCAGGAUAAUUCAACAACCUUGUCUUGUUGGUUUAAUGAUUAAACAUCUGCUGUGUUGAAGAGAGGAAAAUGUUUCAUCUUAUACUUGCAGCUCACCCAACAGCUAGAAACCGAGCAUGUUGACUAUCAGUGACUAAUAGCUUAAAGUCCUGUUUCUGUGGCACAUUGCAGUUGGCAAGAGUGGAUUCUUUCCUCUUUGAGGUUCCAGAGAAGAAUAUGAUCCUUCCUGCAAAAAAAGAGCCAAAGUAAUUUUCUUCUCCACUUAUUAUUCUAAACUGUAUGUAUGCAGAUAUACACCUCAUAUAAACUUAGAAAUGCUAUUUUAAGUUUAAACUUAGAAGUUAAUACAAGAUAUAUUUUAGAACUAAUACUAUCAAAGACACAAAAUUGUUCAGAGUUAUGAUUUGUUAUGUUAAAUCUCAAUCAAAUCCAGGCAAAACUUGUAUUCUCUUUACUAUCAGACCAGAGUGUACAAUGUAAUCAACAUUGUAUGCUGCUGCCGUACCUAAAUCACACUGGUAAUGUACGUUACGUCUACACAGCAGUAUAAACCCUGCCAGAUUCUCCUACUUGUGCACCUCUUUUCCCCUGCUUCUGCAUGCAGCACAUGGCUAGGUGUUUUGGAGGAGCUGUCUGUCUGUCUGUCCUUGGCUGGCAGCCCCAUCUGUGCCUACUGCAGAUUUGACUUGUGAAUGACCAGUCUCAGUUCAAACAGAAAUCCAUGCCAAUGGCAUAGACAUACAUGCCAAGCGAGAAGUACUAUUUAGGAGUUUUCUGUUAGGUGUCUUGAACCUAGCUGUAGAUGCCUAUCAGCUAUAAAUCUAUCCAUCUGGUAUGAGCAGAAGCUAUUAAUGGAUGACUCCUAAACACAAGCACUGAGAGGAUUAGCAAGAUGUACAGUAUGUGAUACUCUGCCCUUUCCACAAACGUCAGGGUGACAUUGGCAAAGAACUCCAAUGAGGUCAUAAAAAUAUUCUUUCUUUCCAAGCUUUAAAGAUCAGCACUAUUUGUCAUGGAGUGACAUGGCUUGAAAGUUGAAAUUCUGUUCCCACAAUUGUAUUUCAGAAGGGUUCAUGAAUCUUGACAGACUUAUGAGUGAUUAUAAGCAGCUAAGUGAAAACAAUAAGGCUGUGAUAGCUGUAGGGCAUGGCUGGGCUCCACCUUCAAUGCCUCCAGGCUGCUGAAGCUUUGCGUGGCUGGUAGCUACGUCAGUGCAGAGCUGCAGAAGGAGCUGAGGCAGACACAGCUGUGUCAGUCACACUACAGCACACUUGAGCUUCAUUUCCAGCUAUUCCUCAGUUGCUCAGACACUUUCUCUUAAGAAAUGUGUUAAAUAAAGUUUGCAUGUAUUAUUUAAGGAGGCUGCACUGUGUCUUCCCAUAAUGCAAGCUCAUGUCUAAGAACAUGCUGGCUGUCAUUGCUUUAACCCCAACCCACUCUCUUAGUUCAGGGAGGCAUAUGUUGCCAGCUUAAGGCUGGCUCAGAGAGAAGGAAAUACAGAUGGGUCCAUGUGUACGUGUGUUCAUAUAUGUGUUUAUAGCUGAAUGUUGUAUUAACAUGAAUAUAAUUAACUGAGGUUAGGAUAAUUCCUGGAGAUGUUGUCUAAAUCUGAAGGUCUUACUUGGCUAAGGGGAGAAAAACUUAUCAGGAGAUGAAUUUUCUUGAUGGCAAGACUUUACUUUUUAAUUCAUGAAGAGAUGAUACAGGAAGGGGGAAAUAGGAUAUAAAAAAGAAAAGUGGUGAAGUUCUUGAUUGUGGUAAUCGAGGAUAGAUUGAUGAAGAGGAGAAAUUGCUUAUAAUUUACUGCCCACUUACAAAUUAUGGGGGGGGAGGAAAUAACCAUUUUGCACAACCUGGUAUGAUAAAGGCCCUUUUCCCUCUAUAAAUAACUAAAAAUCUAAUGCUGUUUUGUAAUUCCAUGUAACUGAAUCAAAAUCAGUAAAACAUUUUGCCUCUUUUUUUAAGUUCAAUUGCCUUUGGGUAGGAAAUGUUUCCUAAUGUCUCCCAAACUCUUCAGUAGUGUUUCUAUGAAUAUAUGAAGACCUACUUUGCACAAUGGAAUACCGUAGUCUAAAACCUGUAUUUUAGAAUGAUGCUGUCAGAUAAAUUUAAUUAUAAGGCAUGACAAGCUAAAUAGUUAAUUGCAUUGAAAAAGCUUUAAGUUUGAAGAUUAUUAUAAUAUUAAAUUGCAUGUGUAUAUUUUUAAAGGAAAUAAUGUAUUGAUUUAUAGAACAUUGAAAAGAUUUUAAUUCUCUAAAAAACAUUUCUGGAAAUGUAUUACCUAUGGCUAAAGACCUGUUUAUGUACAAAAUCUUUCCUAUCCCAUACAUAUUAAAUGCAGUGUGCUCUGUCUAUAAA